RNAcentral lists this unclassified non-coding RNA (292 nucleotides) under uncultured fungus. Its description in RNAcentral is "sequence contains ITS1". The record is from RNAcentral. Lineage: Eukaryota; Fungi.
GGACUACGGGGGUUUCUAAUCCUGUUUGCUCCCCACGCUUUCGUGCAUGAGCAUCAGCGUUAGCCCAGGGGGCUGCCUUCGCCAUCGGUAUUCCUCCACAUCUCUACGCAUUUCACUGCUACACGUGGAAUUCUACCCCCCUCUGCCAUACUCUAGCUCGCCAGUCACCAAUGCAGUUCCCAGGUUAAGCCCGGGGAUUUCACAUCGGUCUUAGCGAACCGCCUGCGCACGCUUUACGCCCAGUAAUUCCGAUUAACGCUCGCACCCUACGUAUUACCGCGGCGGCUGGCAC